GAUGAACGCUGGCGGCGUGCCUAAUACAUGCAAGUCGAGCGAACAGAUGAGGAUCUUGCUCCUCUGACGUUAGCGGCGGACGGGUGAGUAACACGUGUAUAACCUACCUAUAAUACUGGGAUAACUUCGGGAAACCGGAUCUAAUACCGUAUAAUAUAUUGAACCACAUGGUUCAAUAGUUAAAUACGGUGUUUUUGGCGGUUGUGGAUGGAUCCGCGCCUCAUUAUCUAGUUGGUAAGGUAACGGCUUACCAAGGCAACGAUGCGUAGCCGACCUGAGAGGGGGACCAGCCACAUGGGGACUGAGGUACGGCCCAGACGCCUACGGGAGGCAGCAGUGGGGAGUAUUGCACAAUGGGCGGGAGCCUGAGGCGGCAACGCCGCGUGCGGGAUAACGUCCUACGGGGUGUAAACCGCUUUCGCCUGUGACGAGGCGGGAGUGACGGUAAUGGGUAAAGAAGCACCGGCUAACUACGUG
Molecule: ribosomal RNA, 477 nt
Filed under: uncultured bacterium
Lineage: Bacteria
Description: partial 16S ribosomal RNA
Rfam family: Bacterial small subunit ribosomal RNA
Source: RNAcentral